This 232-nucleotide ribosomal RNA is filed under the name uncultured bacterium. RNAcentral's name for it is "partial 16S ribosomal RNA". It matches the Rfam family "Bacterial small subunit ribosomal RNA", at positions 99 to 334 of the family's 1533-position model. The record is from RNAcentral.
CGGACGGGUGAGUAAUGUAUGGGGAUCUGCCUGAUGGCGGGGGAUAACUACUGGAAACGGUAGCUAAUACCGCAUAAUGUCUACGGACCAAAGCGGGGGACCUCCGGGCCUCGCGCCAUCAGAUGAACCCAUAUGGGAUUAGCUAGUAGGUAAGGUAACGGCUUACCUAGGCGACGAUCCCUAGCUGGUCUGAGAGGAUGAUCAGCCACACUGGAACUGAGACACGGUCCAG